This 465-nucleotide ribosomal RNA is filed under the name uncultured bacterium. Its description in RNAcentral is "partial 16S ribosomal RNA". It matches the Rfam family "Bacterial small subunit ribosomal RNA", at positions 28 to 507 of the family's 1533-position model. The record is from RNAcentral.
GACGAACGCUGGCGGCGUGCUUAACACAUGCAAGUCGAACGGAAAGGCCCCUUUGGGGGUACUCGAGUGGCGAACGGGUGAGUAACACGUGAGUAACCUGCCCUUGACUUCGGGAUAACUUCAGGAAACUGGGGCUAAUACCGGCUAGGAAUCCUUGCUGCAUGGUGGGGGUUGGAAAGCUUCGGCGGUUUUGGAUGGACUCGCGGCUUAUCAGCUUGUUGGUGGGGUAGUGGCUUACCAAGGCUUUGACGGGUAGCCGGCCUGAGAGGGCGACCGGCCACAUUGGGACUGAGAUACGGCCCAGACUCCUACGGGAGGCAGCAGUGGGGAAUAUUGCACAAUGGGCGGAAGCCGGAUGCAGCAACGCCGCGUGCGGGAUGACGGCCUUCGGGUUGUAAACCGCUUUCAGCAGGGGCGAAGCUUGUGGUGACGGUACCUGCAGAAGAAGCACCGGCUAACUACGUG